GACGAACGCUGGCGGCGUGCUUAACACAUGCAAGUCGAGCGAUGAAGUUCCUUCGGGAAUGGAUUAGCGGCGGACGGGUGAGUAACACGUGGGUAACCUGCCUCAUAGAGGGGAAUAGCCUUUCGAAAGGACGAUUAAUACCGCAUAAGAUUGUAGUAUCGCAUGAUACAGCAAUUAAAGGGGUAAUCCGCUAUGAGAUGGACCCUCGUCGCAUUAGCUAGUUGGUGAGGUAACGGCUCACCAAGGCGACGAUGCGGAGCCGACCUGAGAGGGUGAUCGGGCACAUUGGGAGUGCGACACGGCCGAGACUCCUACGGGAGGCAGCAGUGGGGAAUAUUGCACAAUGGGGGAAACCCUGAUGCAGCAACGCCGCGUGAGUGAUGGCGGUCUUCGGAUUGUAAAACUCUGUCUUCAGGGACGAUAAUGACGGUACCUGAGGAGGAAGCCACGGCUAACUACGUGCCAGCCGCCGCAGUAA
Molecule: ribosomal RNA, 478 nt
Filed under: uncultured bacterium
Lineage: Bacteria
Description: partial 16S ribosomal RNA
Rfam family: Bacterial small subunit ribosomal RNA
Source: RNAcentral